UCGAUGACAACAAGUUUUUAUCUCUGAUCUAUGAUCUUAGAGAGGUAAACUCUGACGAGGAUGUCUUUAUGCAUGCCUUUGCUUUGGAAUUGAAUUAUGUGACUGUGGGGGUCAACAACCUGCUAGAGCAAUGGGAGCUAAUUGUCUAUACACAGAGGAAUGGUUCUUUCAGACUAUCUGUCGAAUCUCUGAAAUCAUUCUCUGUAUCUGAGCUCUGGGUGCUUCGGAAUAAGGUAAAGCGCAGCUCCAACCUGAAUGAACUUCUUCGUGACAAACUGCUGGAACAAGCUGUAUUCAACAGUCCUCAGGUUGUC
RNAcentral lists this long non-coding RNA (314 nucleotides) under Daucus carota (carrot). RNAcentral's name for it is "long non-coding RNA (DCAR_LNC007656)". The record is from RNAcentral. Lineage: Eukaryota; Viridiplantae; Streptophyta; Magnoliopsida; Apiales; Apiaceae.